This 253-nucleotide ribosomal RNA is filed under the name uncultured bacterium. Its description in RNAcentral is "partial 16S ribosomal RNA". It matches the Rfam family "Bacterial small subunit ribosomal RNA", at positions 524 to 776 of the family's 1533-position model. The record is from RNAcentral.
UACGGGGGGUGCGAGCGUUGUCCGGAAUCACUGGGCGUAAAGGGCGCGUAGGUGGUCUGAUAAGGGUGUGGUGAAAGCCCGGGGCUCAACCCCGGGUCGGCCGUGCCGACUGUUAGACUAGAGUACUGUAGGGGCAGGCGGAAUUCCGGGUGUAGCGGUGGAAUGCGUAGAGAUCCGGAGGAAGACCGGUGGCGAAGGCGGCCUGCUGGGCAGUUACUGACACUGAGGCGCAACAGCGUGGGGAGCAAACAGG